AUAUCGUUCCCUCGCGCCUGCAAAAUCAGGCGUCGGGAUUGGCAUCCUGAAUA
This 53-nucleotide non-coding RNA is filed under the name [Enterobacter] lignolyticus SCF1. Lineage: Bacteria; Pseudomonadati; Pseudomonadota; Gammaproteobacteria; Enterobacterales; Enterobacteriaceae. The record is from RNAcentral.